This 591-nucleotide ribosomal RNA is filed under the name Catostylus sp. JX-2016. RNAcentral describes it as "partial 16S ribosomal RNA". It matches the Rfam family "Bacterial large subunit ribosomal RNA", at positions 1832 to 2594 of the family's 2925-position model. The record is from RNAcentral. Lineage: Eukaryota; Metazoa; Cnidaria; Scyphozoa; Rhizostomeae; Catostylidae.
CUUAUUACACUUCAUAUAAGGUGAGACCUGCUCAAUGGCUACAAAUAAAAGAUAAUAGUAGUUAAAUAGCCGCGGUAACUCUGACCGUGAUAAAGUAGCAUAAUCACUCGUCAUUUAAUUGAUGACUGGAAUGAAUGGUUAUACGAAUCCUCAACUGUCUCAUUAAUAAGAUUAAUAAAAUUGAAUUAAUAGUGAAGAUACUAUUUAUUAAUUGUAAGACGAAAAGACCCUAUCGAGCUUUACUAAAUGCCUAAACCUAAAAAAAUAUACUACCAACAAUUAAAGUUUAGGACAACUAGUUUGGUUGGGGCGACCACCUCUAAAACAGUAUCAGAGGAAAUCUUAAGGUAAGUAACAAUAUAUAAUAGCCUAACUGCAUAUUUACUAAUUAACCAGAUACUAUAGGUAGGAUAUAAUGACCCGUUAAAGGAUUUUUAAAUUUAACGACUAUGAAAAAAGUUACCGUAGGGAUAACAGGGUAAUAUUUCUGAAGAGUUCAUAUCGAUAGAAAUGUUUGCCACCUCGAUGUUGAAUUGUGAUAUCCUAAAGGUGCAGCAGCUUUUAAGGGUUGGUCUGUUCGACCAUUAAAAU